RNAcentral lists this ribosomal RNA (557 nucleotides) under Boana aff. semilineata sp. 1 PP-2018. RNAcentral's name for it is "LSU rRNA". It matches the Rfam family "Bacterial large subunit ribosomal RNA", at positions 1816 to 2597 of the family's 2925-position model. Lineage: Eukaryota; Metazoa; Chordata; Amphibia; Anura; Hylidae. The record is from RNAcentral.
CGCCUCUUGAACUAAAUAAGAGGUCCAGCCUGCCCAGUGAAAUUAUUCAACGGCCGCGGUAUCCUAACCGUGCGAAGGUAGCGUAAUCACUUGUUCUUUAAAUGAGGACUAGUAUGAAUGGCACCACGAGGGUUCUACUGUCUCCUUUUUAAAAUCAGUGAAACUAAUCUUCCCGUGAAGAAGCGGGAAUUUUUUUAUAAGACGAGAAGACCCUAUGGAGCUUUAAACAAAUGACAUUUGCUUAAUCUAAUAUUUUAUUUUUAAGAAAUAUAGCAUUAUGAUUAUUAGUUUUCGAUUGGGGUGAUCACGGAGAAAAAUCUAACCUCCACGCCGAAAGGGUUUGUUCCCUAAGCAAAAAGCUACAGCUUUAAGCACUAAAAAAUUAACGUAAUUUGACCCAAUAUUUUGAUCAACGAACCAAGUUACCCUAGGGAUAACAGCGCAAUCCACUUCAAGAGCUCCUAUCGACAAGUGGGUUUACGACCUCGAUGUUGGAUCAGGGUAUCCUAGUGGUGCAGCCGCUACUAAUGGUUCGUUUGUUCAACGAUUAAAACCCU